CCUACGGGAGGCAGCAGUGGGGAAUCUUGGACAAUGGGCGCAAGCCUGAUCCAGCCAUGCCGCGUGAGCGAUGAAGGCCUUAGGGUUGUAAAGCUCUUUCGCCAGGGAAGAUAAUGACGGUACCUGGUAAAGAAACCCCGGCUAACUCCGUGCCAGCAGCCGCGGUAAUACGGAGGGGGUUAGCGUUGUUCGGAAUUACUGGGCGUAAAGCGCACGUAGGCGGAUUAGUCAGUCAGGGGUGAAAUCCCGAGGCUCAACCUCGGAACUGCCUUUGAUACUGCUAGUCUAAAGUUCGAGAGAGGUGAGUGGAAUUCCGAGUGUAGAGGUGAAAUUCGUAGAUAUUCGGAGGAACACCAGUGGCGAAGGCGGCUCACUGGCUCGAUACUGACGCUGAGGUGCUAAAGCGUGGGGAGCAAACAGGAUUAGAUACCCUGGUAG
Molecule: ribosomal RNA, 438 nt
Filed under: uncultured bacterium
Lineage: Bacteria
Description: bacterial SSU rRNA
Rfam family: Bacterial small subunit ribosomal RNA
Source: RNAcentral